GGCAGUGUGAUAUAGUGGUUUGAGAGUUGGAUUAUGACUCUAGAAACUAGGUUCAAAUCCGUGCUUGGCCA
Non-coding RNA from Phrynosoma platyrhinos (Desert horned lizard), 71 nucleotides. NCBI's taxonomy places the organism in Eukaryota, Metazoa, Chordata, Lepidosauria, Squamata, Phrynosomatidae. The record is from the annotation of a GenBank genome assembly.